AGUCCUUUUAAAUUAGUCCUGUGAGGCUGGUAAGGGGAAUUAAUAGAUUUAUGCUAUUACCUUCUUACUCUUGCUCAGGGUGAGAAGUUUUUUUA
Halobacteroidaceae bacterium is the source of this 95-nucleotide non-coding RNA. Lineage: Bacteria; Bacillati; Bacillota; Clostridia; Halanaerobiales; Halobacteroidaceae. The record is from Rfam.